AACCGAAUAGGGGAGCCGGAGGGAAACCGAGUCUUAAUUGGGCGUUAAGUUGCAGGGUAUAGACCCGAAACCCGGUGAUCUAGCCAUGGGCAGGUUGAAGGUUGGGUAACACUAACUGGAGGACCGAACCGACUAAUGUUGAAAAAUUAGCGGAUGACCUGUGGCUGGGGGUGAAAGGCCAAUCAAACCGGGAGAUAGCUGGUUCUCCCCGAAAGCUAUUUAGGUAGCGCCUCGUGAAUUCAUCUCCGGGGGUAGAGCACUGUUUCGGCUAGGGGGCCAUCCCGGCUUACCAACCCGAUGCAAACUGCGAAUACCGGAGAAUGUUAUCACGGGAGACACACGGCGGGUGCUAACGUCCGUCGUGAAGAGGGAAACAACCCAGACCGCCAGCUAAGGUCCCAAAGUCAUGGUUAAGUGGGAAACGAUGUGGGAAGGCCCAGACAGCCAGGAUGUUGGCUUAGAAGCAGCCAUCAUUUAAAGAAAGCGUAAUAGCUCACUGGUCGAGUCGGCCUGCGCGGAAGAUGUAACGGGGCUAAACCAUGCACCGAAGCUGCGGCAGCGAACGUAUCACCCAAGACAACUUUACGGAGUUGACGAUUGACGGAGCGAAGCGACGUCAAAGCGUUCAUUAAAGUCGAGUUGGCUUAGGGAUACGUUCGUUGGGUAGGGGAGCGUUCUGUAAGCCUGUGAAGGUGGCCUGUGAGGGUUGCUGGAGGUAUCAGAAGUGCGAAUGCUGACAUAAGUAACGAUAAAGCGGGUGAAAAGCCCGCUCGCCGGAAGACCAAGGGUUCCUGUCCAACGUUAAUCGGGGCAGGGUGAGUCGACCCCUAAGGCGAGGCCGAAAGGCGUAGUCGAUGGGAAACGGGUUAAUAUUCCCGUACUUGGUGUUACUGCGAAGGGGGGACGGAGAAGGCUAUGUUGGCCGGGCGACGGUUGUCCCGGUUUAAGCGUGUAGGUGUGUGUUCCAGGUAAAUCCGGUUCACUUUAACACUGAGGCGUGACGACGAGGCACUACGGUGCUGAAGCAACAAAUGCCCUGCUUCCAGGAAAAGCCUCUAAGCAUCAGGUAACAUCAAAUCGUACCCCAAACCGACACAGGUGGUCAGGUAGAGAAUACCAAGGCGCUUGAGAGAACUCGGGUGAAGGAACUAGGCAAAAUGGUGCCGUAACUUCGGGAGAAGGCACGCUGACACGUAGGUGAAGUGAUUUACUCACGGAGCUGAAGUCAGUCGAAGAUACCAGCUGGCUGCAACUGUUUAUUAAAAACACAGCACUGUGCAAACACGAAAGUGGACGUAUACGGUGUGACGCCUGCCCGGUGCCGGAAGGUUAAUUGAUGGGGUCAGCGCAAGCGAAGCUCCUGAUCGAAGCCCCGGUAAACGGCGGCCGUAACUAUAACGGUCCUAAGGUAGCGAAAUUCCUUGUCGGGUAAGUUCCGACCUGCACGAAUGGCGUAAUGAUGGCCAGGCUGUCUCCACCCGAGACUCAGUGAAAUUGAACUCGCUGUGAAGAUGCAGUGUACCCGCGGCAAGACGGAAAGACCCCGUGAACCUUUACUAUAGCUUGACACUGAACAUUGAGCCUUGAUGUGUAGGAUAGGUGGGAGGCUUUGAAGCGUGGACGCCAGUCUGCGUGGAGCCGACCUUGAAAUACCACCCUUUAAUGUUUGAUGUUCUAACGUGGACCCGU
This 1689-nucleotide ribosomal RNA is filed under the name Salmonella enterica subsp. enterica serovar Potsdam. RNAcentral describes it as "partial 23S ribosomal RNA". It matches the Rfam family "Bacterial large subunit ribosomal RNA", at positions 648 to 2236 of the family's 2925-position model. Lineage: Bacteria; Pseudomonadati; Pseudomonadota; Gammaproteobacteria; Enterobacterales; Enterobacteriaceae. The record is from RNAcentral.